This 465-nucleotide ribosomal RNA is filed under the name uncultured bacterium. RNAcentral describes it as "partial 16S ribosomal RNA". It matches the Rfam family "Bacterial small subunit ribosomal RNA", at positions 28 to 507 of the family's 1533-position model. The record is from RNAcentral.
GAUGAACGCUGGCGGCGUGCUUAACACAUGCAAGUCGAACGGAAAGGCUCCUGCUUGCAGGGGUACUCGAGUGGCGAACGGGUGAGUAACACGUGGGUGAUCUGCCCUGCACUUCGGGAUAAGCCUGGGAAACUGGGUCUAAUACCGGAUAGGACGAUGUGUUGGAUGCCAUUGUGGAAAGUUUUUCGGUGUGGGAUGAACUCGCGGCCUAACAGCUUGUUGGUGGGGUAGUGGCCUACCAAGGCGUCGACGGGUAGCCGGCCUGAGAGGGUGGACGGCCACAUUGGGACUGAGAUACGGCCCAGACUCCUACGGGAGGCAGCAGUGGGGAAUAUUGCACAAUGGGCGCAAGCCUGAUGCAGCGACGCCGCGUGGGGGAUGACGGCCUUCGGGUUGUAAACUCCUUUCGCUAGGGACGAAGCGCAAGUGACGGUACCUGGAGAAGAAGCACCGGCUAACUACGUG